ACGACGCCUUCCCACGGUCAUCACUAGUACCUGAAACAAAAAACAUCAACACUGUAAGCUCAAAGCUUAGUGAGUUCCCCAAAAUACCGCGCAUAACACAUAUUCGCCACUCGAGGCUAUAACUCUGUGGGUCCGUAGACCCUACUCUGUGAACCCUAUGGGAACCUUCCGGUUCCAACUCUAUAAACAUGCACAACAUAAAUCACAUAGAAAUAAUGUAGUACAACACAUAACAUACAUAUAGCAUACAAAUACUCUGUCACAUAACUCUGAUUACCUACUCAAGGUAAAGUAUAGUGAGAAGACUCACCUCGCGUAUCUCGAUAACUCGAAAUUCCCGGAAAUCACUCGCGCUCGAUCCUCCGAGCUAUAAUCCUCCUAUAACACAAUAUAUCUCUAAUUAACACUUUCUCAACUAAGGUUGACUACCCCUAUCAAGUCAACACUGGUCAACUCUGGUCAACGGUCAACUUUGACCGGACUCGGCGAGUGCACUAGAGCGACUCGGCGAGUCUAUACGUGUUCACUGACUCCCUAGGAUCCUCUCUUGACACGUCGAGUACUUCCCUAACUCGACGAGUUCCACCUGGCAUGAAUCGCGGGGCCACCACGACUCAACUCGCCGAGUCUCAAGAACAACUCGGCGAGUUCCAGCUUGACUCAGCCCACCUGUCAACCCUCUCUGACUCUCCCUGACUCACUGAGUCAACCCCUUAACUCGGCAAGACCACUCGCUGAGUGGUUAUGGACAAUCUUCAUGCUACUCGCCGAGUCUGUUCUUCGGACUCGGUGAGUCUAAGCGAUGCAUGAACUCAAACUCACUCCUGAGGUCAGAUCCGUUCCACUAACUCAUAGAUCCAAUCCUUCCAAGCAAAUUCAUCACGUAAAGUUACAAUCUUGGUGCUCAUGCAAAGGUCCAAAGGCCUUAUUUGAUGAUAUGGUCUCUAGAAUGCUAUUCUAAGCUCAUGGCCUCCAUUAACACUCAUAAAGCUUGAGGGAAAAGAGUCUCUAGACCUCUUUGGGUCCAAAUCUAAAGAAUCAACACAAAAAGAGGCCAAUCACCCCAUUAAUCAUUCCACAAAGAAGCCCUUAACUCUAAGAUUUGCACCAAGGGCUGAGAAAGGAACGAAUGGUUACCUCAAAUGAAGUCUCUGGACACAGGAAUCACUGGAUUAGCACCUCCUUGGUCUCCUCUUGCCUUGAUCCUCUUCUAUAUGCAAAAUCACCCACAAAUAAUCAAAGAUCCUCCUCUUCUCUCUCACAAAACGCUCAAGGACUCUUUUAGGGUUCUCUCUGGGGUUGGUGGCCGCAAAUGACGGCCAUAAGCCCCUUUAAAUAGGUCUCAUACCCUAGAAAUUAGGGUUUCAUUAAACAGCAUGGACUCGCCGAGUCCGGACGCGAACCCUUUCCCAAACCGCGAUCAUACUCGGCGAGUUUGAGCUCCAACUCGCCGAGUCUCCUCACAAAACACCAAAAAUUAGAAGAAUAAAUUAAUACCUGGGAAUCCGGGCUGGUACAAUUCUCCCCCACUAAAACUAGACUUCACCCUCAAAGUCUCGCUCUGCAAAUAACUCCGGAUGCUGCUCACGCAUCUCACGCUCCAGCUCCCAAGUCAUCUCGGACCCCUUCCGAUGCUGCCACUGAACCAAAACCAAGGGUACCUCCUUGUUCCUCAGAACCUUGAUUUUCCGAUCUCUGAUUGCCACUGGUCUCUCAGCAUAAUUCAGGCUCGCAUCCACCUGAAUAUCCUCUAAUGGAACCACUGCCGACUCAUCGGCUAUACACUUCCGCAGUUGCGACACAUGGAAAGUGUCGUGAAUCUGCCCCAACUCUGCUGGCAAAUCCAAACGAUAGGCUACCCGGCCUACCCUCGCGAUCACUCGGAAUGGACCAAUAUAUCGGGGCCCCAACUUGCCCCUCUUCCUGAAUCGAAUCACUCCUUUCCAAGGAGAGACCUUCAGGAGUACAAGGUCGCCGACCUGAAACUCAAGCUCGGACCGGCGUCUGUCUGCAUAACUCUUCUGACGACUCUGAGCGGUCAACAACCUUUGUCUGACCUGCUGGAUUUGCUCUGUCGUCCGAAGCACGAUCUCUGUACUGUUCAUCACCCCUUGUCUAACCUCUCCCCAACAAAUGGGGGUCCGACACCUCCUCCCAUACAACAGCUCAAAGGGUGGCAUACCAAUGCUCGAAUGAUAUCUGUUGUUGUAGGAAAACUCUGCCAAGGGUAAAUACGCAUCCCAGCUACCCCCGAAAUCCAACACACAUGCUCGGAGCAUGUCCUCAAGCGUCUGAAUCGUCCGCUCACUCUGACCGUCUGUCUGGGGAUGAUAUGCGGUACUAAAAUGCAGUCUAGUACCCAACUCCUCAUGAAACUUCUUCCAGAAUCUGGAAGUGAAACGCACAUCACGGUCUGAAACAAUCGAGAUCGGCACCCCAUGCCGAGAUACCACUUCCCUCACAUAUACCUCUGCCAGUUUCUCUGCUGAAGAACUCUCGCUGAUAGCAAGAAAGUGAGCGCUCUUCGUGAACCUGUCCACAAUCACCCAAAUUGCAUCAACUCCUCUGGUAGUCCUUGGCAAUUUGGUGAUGAAAUCCAUGGUGAUCUAUUCCUACUUCCAUUUGGGAACCUCCAAUGGCUGCAACUUACCAUGCGGCCUUUGGUGCUCGGCGUUAACCCUACGGCAGGUCAAGCACCUCUCAACAAACCACGCAACAUCCCUCUUCAUACAGGGCCACCAAUACUCCUUUCUCAGAUCCAAAUACAUCUUAGUGGCCCCCGGAUGGAUCGAAAAUUUCGACCGAUGAGCCUCCUCCAUCAAAAUGGUACGCGUUCCUCCCACAAACGGCACCCAGAUACGCCCCUGAAAUGUCAUAAGCCCCCGACCAUCGGUAACGAACUCUGAAACCAAACCAACAACUCGUUCUUUCUUCUACAUCUCAGGUUGCACAUCCUCGGCCCGUACCCCACGAAUGGCAUCCAACACUGGAGCUAUCACAGUCAAUCUCAAACAUACAUCCCACAAUGGGGUGCUCUCUGCACUGCGGCGCAGUGCAUCGGCUACAACAUUAGCCUUGCCUGGGUGGUACAGGAUCUCACAAUCAUAAUCCUUGACCACAUCCAACCACCUUCUCUGUCGCAUAUUUAGGUUGGGCUGAUCCAUCAAAUACUUCAAACUCUUAUGGUCCGUGUAUAUCGUACACCGAACCCCAUACAGGUAGUGACGCCAAAUCUUGAGGGCGAACACCACUGCCCCCAACUCUAGAUCAUGGGUGGGAUAUCUCGUCUCAUGAGGCUUCAGCUGCCUCGAUGCAUAUGCUAUCACAUGCCCUCUCUGCAUCAGCACCGCUCCCAACCCCAAAAUCGAUGCAUCACAGUAUACCACAAAGUCCUCCAUCCCUUCCGGGAGAGCUAACACCGGGGCUUCGCACAACCUUUGGCGAAGUGUCUCAAAGGAGGCCUGCUGCUCGGGGCCCCAUGAAAAAGCAACACCCUUCCGGGUCAAUCUGGUGAGUGGCACUGCGAUCUUAGAGAAAUCCUUGAUAAACCUCCGAUAAUACCCUGCCAACCCUAGGAAACUCCUGAUCUCGGAGGGUGACUUCGGCACCUCCCAACUCAUCACUGCCUCAACCUUGGCCGGAUCGACCAAUAUCCCUUCCUGGUUAACGAGAUGUCCUAAGAACUGGACCUCCCGCAACCAGAAAUCACACUUGGAGAAUUUGGCAUAAAGCCUCUCCGAUCUCAGAACUCCGAGAACCUCUCUCAAAUGCUCCUCAUGCUGCUCUCUAGAUCUCGAAUAUACCAGAAUGUCGUCGAUAAAUACAAUCACCGACCGAUCCAGCAUCGGCCUGCACACUCGGUUCAUGAGAUCCAUGAACACUGCCGGGGCAUUGGUGAGCCCGAAAGGCAUCACCACAAACUCGUAAUGCCCAUAACGCGUCCUGAACGCUGUCUUCUGGACGUCCUCAUCUCGCACCCUCACCUGAUGAUAUCCAGACCUCAAAUCGAUCUUGGAGAACCAAGAUGCUCCCUGCAACUGAUCGAACAAAUCGUCGAUCCUCGGCAACGGGUAACGGUUCUUGACCGUCAGCUUGUUCAACUCCCGGUAAUCAAUGCACAUCCGGUGUGAACCAUCCUUCUUCUUGACGAACAGGAUAGGCGCUCCCCACGGCGAGCUGCUCGGCCGAAUAAACCCCUUCCCCAGCAGCUCCUGAAGCUGCGAGGAUAACUCUUGCAUCUCUGGAGGUGCAAGGCGAUAAGGCACCUUAGCGAUAGGCGCGGCCCCCGGAACCAAAUCGAUACUGAACUCCACUUGCCUCACAGGAGGCACACACGGCAACUCCUCAGGAAAUACAUUCGGGAACUCACGCACUACCGGAACCUCUUCAACUGACCACGGUCUCUCUAAAUCCACCCGCGUAUCCAUCACAUACGCCACAAAACCCUUACAGCCCUGCUGUAGACACUGCCUCACCCUAGCGGCCGAAUAAAACAUUGAUCCUGAACGUGUACCCUCUCCGUACACCGUAAGAACUCAUGGUCACCAGCUGUCGCUCACAGUCGAUAACCGCACCGAAUCUGCUCAACCAGUCCAUGCCCACAAUGACACAGACAUCACCCAUCGCAAUAGGAACCAGAUCAAUCGGGAACUCAACAUCGAAAAUCUCGACUACGCACCCUCGGAGAACCUCCGUGGCGUAUCUCACCCUCUCGUCAGCUAUGGAAACUCUCAGAGGCCGACUCAAAGCCUCACGACUAACACUGAUAUGCUGACUAAAAUCCAAAGAUACAAAAGACCAACUCGCACCCGAGUCAAAUAACACCAAGGAAGGUACAUAAUUCACAAGAAAAGUACCUACGCAUAACAUAAUAUAAGCAUAAUAUCUCAACAUCAAAAUAAAUCCACGAAAGAAUACAUACCAGCCACGACAUCGGGCGUUGCGCGGACCUCCUCCGCGGUCAACUGAAAAGCUCUCCCUCAUGCCUUUGGCGCCUCGGAAUACUCAGAUAUCGGCUCAUACGACAUCGGGCGUUGCGCGGACCUCCCACGAGGAGUUCGCCGCGAACUCCCGAAUGUCUCUCCUCGAAAUACUCAGAUAUCGGCUCAUAUGUGCCUGCUCGGUGGACACGUGCUCAGGGCAGAACAUCGCCCUCUCAUGGAACAUCCUGGUAAUCGUCGUAACAGACUCAGUACCCUGCUUGAGGGUCAGAAACUCCUGGGCCAAACGCUCCCUCUCCACCUGGGGAACGUACUCAUCUUAGAACAUGGUAGUGAACCUCUCCCAAGUCACUGCCGCAAGCUCAGCAGGUGUAAAGUGCGCCGUCACAAACUUCCACCAGUCCUUCGCUCCCAAGCGAAGCUGGUUCAGUGCGAACCGAACCUUCAAAUGCUCAGGAGAUGAGCAAGUGAAGAAAUACCCCUCUAUGUCAGAAAUCCAUCUCAUAGCCGCCACCGGGUCCUGGGUCCCAUCAAACUCCGGCGGUUUUGUGUUGCUGAACUCUCGGAACAGCAACGCAUCACCACCCUGCGGCCUCGCGACAGCAAUAGCUGCGGUGGCCGUUGCAACAGCAGCCUCAGAAAGAGCGGCAUAACGCUCGUCAAAGGUCUCAAUCAACGUGGUCUUAAUAGACCCGAACAUCUCUGGUAUCUCUGCCCUGAUGGCCGCAGCCACCUCCUCAUGGAUGAUCCGGCGGAUCUCCUCAUCACUGGUCUCACUGCUCUCAGGCAUCAGACGUGUCCUCACCAUGAUCUACCUCUGAAAUAGAACAUACGAUAAAUUAGAAUCCAUUCGAGCAUACUCACACUCGACAACUCAUCCCUCCUUGAUCCUUGGUAUUCCAAAGAUUCCUACUUGGGCUGUACACCGCUCCGGUGCUUUCAGUAGUACGGGCCCAAUACUACUGUCUGCACCGUAUCAGGAUACACCCCAAGUCUUCCACUUCGGAUUCCAAAUCCCAAGUACUCUAUCAUGCAUAAUCCACUCUCUAACAGAUCUCUCAUAAGCCCCUCGCUGCUACCUACUCACUCUCAAUCAUCUCAUAGCAGCUCACCUCUCCCUAGGCUAAGGCAUCACAAAUCAGGCCACUUUAGUCCUAAUAGGAGUACCUAGCCUACUCUAGCAUGAGAAUACAUCAUAUCAAUAUAAAUAUCACAUAACAUGAGGGUAUUUUGGGAAAUCACUGUUCGCGCGCGGACUGAUCGUACACACAACUCAGCUCUGCGUUCUUCCAAACAACAUCAACACUGUAAGCACAAAGCAUAGUGAGUUCCUCAAAAUACCACGCCUAACACAUAUUAGCCACUCGAGGCUAUAACUCUGUGGGUCCUUAGACCCUACUCUGUGAACCCUCUGGUUCUAACUCUGGGAACCUUCUGGUUCCAACUCUAUAAACAUGCACAUCAUAAAUCACAUAGAAAUAAUGUAGUACAACACAUAACAUACAUAUAGCAUACAAAUACUCUGUCACAUAACUCUGAUUACCUACUCAAGGUAAAGUAUAGUGAGAAGACUCACCUCGCGUAUCUCGAUAACUCGCAAAUCCCGGAAAUCACUCGCGCUCGAUCCUCCGAGCUAUAAUCCUCCUAUAACACAAUAUAUCUCUAAUUAACACUUUCUCAACUAAGGUUGACUACCCCUAUCAAGUCAACACUGGUCAACUCUGGUCAACGGUUAACUUUGACCGGACUCGGCGAGUGCACUAGAGCGACUCGGCGAGUCUAUACGUGUUCACUGACUCCCU
Molecule: long non-coding RNA, 6742 nt
Filed under: Lactuca sativa (garden lettuce)
Lineage: Eukaryota; Viridiplantae; Streptophyta; Magnoliopsida; Asterales; Asteraceae
Description: long non-coding RNA (LSAT_LNC001228)
Source: RNAcentral